This 323-nucleotide long non-coding RNA is filed under the name Fukomys damarensis (Damara mole-rat). RNAcentral describes it as "lncRNA (ENSFDAG00000029339.1)". The record is from RNAcentral. Lineage: Eukaryota; Metazoa; Chordata; Mammalia; Rodentia; Bathyergidae.
GCCAGUAAAAGAACUGGGCAGGAAGAUCUUGGCCUGCUGAUUUUCUAGGGGGAGCUUGCUGAUGACGGUUUUCCUGAUGCGAACGAGGCUGUCUCUGGGAAUGGCUGCUGCUUUCAACAGGGGAGCUCUGAUGUUUACCAAACCACAGAUUAUGUCUGCAUAAAACAUCCUGCUUUGUUCCUGAGCCCUGAGGAGUUCAUUUAACGCCCCCACCCCGCAGUCCAGCGGACAGUGCUUGGUCCUGGUGUACGUUUCCCGUGUGAAGACUGCGGCACGGUGAGUCACUACCUUUGAAAGACAUCCCUUGCUUUGAAUUUUAUGAG